Molecule: ribosomal RNA, 380 nt
Filed under: Shinkaiya sp.
Lineage: Eukaryota; Foraminifera; Syringamminidae
Description: partial small subunit ribosomal RNA
Rfam family: Eukaryotic small subunit ribosomal RNA
Source: RNAcentral
GGCUCCUUCAGCCUGAGGUAGAAUUGUUGUAGUUAAAACGCUCGUAGUUGGAUUUUGUAAGAGUUUUGUGUGUGUAGGUUGCGUAUAUAUUCGUAUAUUCGUGAUUCUUCAUGCCACUUUUAUACUGAUUGUGGAUAAUUUUCGGAUUAUUUGCAAUAUUACUGUGAGAAAAAGAGUGCGCUUAAGGGCGGCUUUAUGCUAAGAUCAUUUAGCAUGGAAUAAACAUAACGGACUUUGGUUUUGUUAUGUGUUGGUUCAAUAUCAAGUCAUGAUUGAUAAGGAUGGUUUGGGGAUGUUCGUAUUUAUACUCGAGGGGUGAAAUCUUUUGACAGUAUAAGGACGAUCUUUAGCAAAAGCAUUCAUCAAUUCCAUACCUUUUA